RNAcentral lists this ribosomal RNA (470 nucleotides) under uncultured bacterium. Its description in RNAcentral is "bacterial SSU rRNA". It matches the Rfam family "Bacterial small subunit ribosomal RNA", at positions 51 to 518 of the family's 1533-position model. The record is from RNAcentral.
ACACAUGCAAGUCGAACGGCAGCGCGGGGGCAACCCGUGGCGGCGAGUGGCGAACGGGUGAGUAAUAUAUCGGAACGUACCCAGGAGUGGGGGAUAACGUAGCGAAAGUUACGCUAAUACCGCAUACGACCUACGGGUGAAAGUGGGGGAGUCGCAAGACCUCAUGCUCAUGGAGCGGCCGAUAUCUGAUUAGCUAGUUGGUGGGGUAAAGGCUCACCAAGGCAACGAUCAGUAGCUGGUCUGAGAGGACGACCAGCCACACUGGAACUGAGACACGGUCCAGACUCCUACGGGAGGCAGCAGUGAGGAAUAUUGGUCAAUGGGCGUAAGCCUGAACCAGCCAAGUAGCGUGCAAGGAAGACUGCCCUAUGGGUUGUAAACUGCUUUUAUGCGGGGAUAAAGUGAGGGACGUGUCCCUUUUUGCAGGUACCGCAUGAAUAAGGACCGGCUAAUUCCGUGCCAGCAGCAGC